This 193-nucleotide non-coding RNA is filed under the name Paenibacillus alvei. Lineage: Bacteria; Bacillati; Bacillota; Bacilli; Caryophanales; Paenibacillaceae. The record is from RNAcentral.
CAUAGAAACAGUUUAUAUGGUGCUGUGCAUGCGCAGCUUAAUAGGGAAGUCGAUGCAAGUUCGACGCGGUCCCGCCACUGUAACGCAGAGCUGACAAUCAAGGCUUUUAUCCACUGUUAACUUAGUUAACGGGAAGGAGAUUGUCGAGUGAUGAUGCGAAGCCAGGAGACCUGCCAUAUAAGUGCUCUAUAUU